This 75-nucleotide transfer RNA is filed under the name Paulinella micropora. RNAcentral's name for it is "tRNA-His". It matches the Rfam family "tRNA". From Rfam's summary of the family: Transfer RNA (tRNA) molecules are approximately 80 nucleotides in length. Their secondary structure includes four short double-helical elements and three loops (D, anti-codon, and T loops). The record is from RNAcentral. Lineage: Eukaryota; Cercozoa; Imbricatea; Euglyphida; Paulinellidae.
GGUUGUUAUAGCUCAAUUGGUUAGAGUACUUGUUUGUGGAGCAAGAAGUUAUGGGUUCAAGUCCCAUUAAUAACC